AGUUAACGGCCAAACCACAACAUUUAUCUUCUCAAUCGUUACAAGUUUCCAUAUAACCCUAGUGCCUGACGUACGAGAUAAUUAUUCCCCAAAUAUUUUAAUUUCCGAUUUUCUUAAAUACGUAUAUAUAUUGCGAAAGCGAGGACAUUUCCGCAGUGUCAUCUGACUUUUGAAACAGAGGUGAGUUUCGCGGAAUCUCUGAGCCACUUGCCAAUCCGUGGUAUGUUCAUCUUUUUGGUUUUUUCACGUCAAGAUGUUGCCAUGUUUGUCUCUCUAGAGUUUUCGCUAUAGCUUUGUCUCUCUCUUUGUCACUGGCUCUCUGUGUUCCCUAGGGUUCCAUUAUCAAAUCCUUAAACUUUUUGCUCUUUUCCUUGUUACUUUUAUGUCAGCCACAUAACUUUAAUCGCAGGGAAUAAUUCUUUAAUUCAUCUUUUAGCUUUUGAAUCCUCCAUACUAUUUGUUCAUUUGGGCUGAAAAUCUUUGGUUUUCAGCCAAUUUAACUGAUGAUUAGACUUUGGGCAGAUGAAAUCUCAUCUGGGUCGUGAUUGAAUUGGGAGAUUAGUUUUGAACUACAAGUGUCCAUCUGGGUUUCUCUGGUUUCCGUCGAUAAGAGUAGAGGGCUCGAAACUUCAUCUGGGUGGAGGCCAAAAGUUUGAAAUUUUGCUACUGUUUCACUCAAUUGGAACUUUUUGCUCUUAGAUCUUCGUGUUCUUUGCCUAAAUGGAGGACGGAGAGCUCGAUUUUUCGAACCAAGAGAUGUUUUCGGGUCCAAACAUGGGGGGUGAACAUCCGAGUAGUUGCUCAAUGGACAGCUUCUUUGAUGACCUUCUUAAGGACACUCAUGCUUGCACUCACACCCACACUUGCAAUCCACCUGGCCCUGACUACUCUCAUACACACACUUGCUUUCAUGUACACACUAAAAUCGUGUCUUCAGCAACAGGAAGUGAAGACAAGGCUGGAACUGAUGACACUGCUGAAUCUGGGGAAAAGAAAUCGAAGAAACGUCCUUUAGGUAAUCGAGAAGCAGUUCGUAAGUACCGCGAGAAGAAGAAGGCACGGGCAGCGUCUUUGGAGGAUGAAGUUGUGAGAUUGAGAACUCUGAAUCAGCAGUUAUUGAAGAGGUUGCAAGGUCAGGCUGCAUUGGAGGCUGAGAUUGCGAGGCUCAAGUGUUUGCUUGUGGACAUUCGAGGAAGAAUUGAAGGAGAAAUUGGAUCUUUUCCAUAUCAGAAAUCAGUGAAUCCCAACCUGCCCAACCCAAACAUCCCCAGUGCGUAUGUGAUGAAUCCAUGUAAUCUACAGCGUGAUGAUCAGCUUUAUUGUCUUCAUCAAGGGGCUGAUGGAAAAUGUGGAGAUGGGGCGGUGAUGAAUGGGCAAGGAUUUAGCGGUUGUGAUUUUGAGAAUCUUCAGUGUUUGGUAAAUCAGGAUGGAGGAUACAAGGAGCUUUCUGGUUGUGGACUUGGAAAUGGGGUGUCAAAUGGUAAUUCUUCUGCCACAAAUAAGAGGAAGGGAGGGGCUCGAGCCGCAGCAGCAAACUGAAGGGCUGAGGAAGGAAGCAGUGUCAUUAUCCCCAAGAGUACAUAUAUUGCCCUGCAAUAAGUAGUUUUUCAAACUGCAGCAUCAGCUCUCCAUCAGACCGUAGAGAAGGUGGCAUGUGAUUUCUAUCAUGUUUCAGUACUAUGAGCUGUAAACAGGUGAGUCACAAUAAUCACUUUGUGAGAUCCAAAUUUGUGAUCUGUGUGGAAGCUUGCGUAGUUUCCGGCUUUUGUUGGUUUACUGUUUCUCUUCAUCAAAAUAACUUAAGAGCUUAGCAUUUUGGUGAAAAGGAAUAAAAAGAAUGCAUUUGUGGGUGACUGACUAGCGGAUAAAUUUCACAGUACAUUGUCCUUGGGUGAUGCAUCUGGCCAUUGUGCAUGUCAGUGGACACCCUAUUUCCACCAUUGACGAUGGCAAGGAGAAUCUCUGUAGGUUCCUUGCCUUUGGAUGGUCAGUAUGUGCUUCUGCUAACCAACUUAUUUUUAGUGACCUGGAUUCAUGUGUAGACAGUGGGCUUUUAAUCUUCGCUGGUGAAUUUAUUAUAGUUCAUUCUCAUCUAUAUGAUGGGUAAUAUCAUUAGAGAGAAAAGUGAAAAGAGUUGGUGUAUAUUGAUAUCCCCACUAACGGGAUUUUGAUCAUUGAGAAACGAAUAAAGUUUUUUCUUCUUCCUUUUUUGAA
This is an RNA transcript of Prunus persica (peach), 2214 nucleotides long. It is a transcript of the gene named basic leucine zipper 23, with no coding region annotated. The transcript is spliced from 3 exons. The record is from RefSeq and is a predicted model, not a curated record. Lineage: Eukaryota; Viridiplantae; Streptophyta; Magnoliopsida; Rosales; Rosaceae.